Long non-coding RNA from Daphnia pulex (common water flea), 783 nucleotides. RefSeq lists it as uncharacterized. NCBI's taxonomy places the organism in Eukaryota, Metazoa, Arthropoda, Branchiopoda, Diplostraca, Daphniidae. The record is from RefSeq and is a predicted model, not a curated record. The transcript is spliced from 2 exons.
GUUAGUCGUAGUCUUCUCGGUGAGUUGAUCAGAAGGUUGCGUGAAUCACUUCAAAUUUUCAGCCUCAGUUUUUACCACAAAUUACCAUAGAAAAACUGCAAUUCUGAAGAUGAUAUUUAUAUUCAUCAUCAAUGUUAUAUUUGUUGUGCCAGCGCUGAUUUCUGGUUGUGCUGCCGGAAAGAUGAAUUACAGGAAAGAAGACCUGGUGACAAUGGCAGAAUCAAAUGGAAACUUAUCCCCUGCUUUAGAUGUAAUAAUCAAUAACGGAGGAUUUAGUCAGAUUGGUGGUACAUCUUACGGUGGGGGAGUAUCAAACGGGCAAGGAAAUAGUAACAGCGGCGGAGGGACUGUCGAUUUUGGCCCAGAAACUGCAGCUUACUAUGAAAGUACUGUCAAAGUCUUUCCAAACUGUGAUUUUCCUGCGAAUGACAUCAGCAACCAAACAAGUUUUGAAAAGGAUUGCAGCAGCAUCUGUUUCGCUAAUUUCCAAUGCAACGCGUUCAGUUGGCGCGAUGGAAACUGUCACUUGAAAAUUAUCCCAUCACCAAAUCUUCGUCAACCGGCGAAUGGCGGCAUUUGCGGAUUCCUCCCCUGGAAAUUUUAAUUUUGAAACAUUUAAAUGUUAGUGGCAUAAGAUAUUGUUGUACUCCAUUUAGCACUGGUAUGCGACCUAAUGUACUUUUUGUGGUUCAUCGAAUACUUUGCGAUGGACCUCGAGUGGCUUUCCCCUUGUAUGAUUGCACCCUCAACCUAAUGGAAUAAAAUCCUAAUAAAUUACAACAA